RNAcentral lists this ribosomal RNA (305 nucleotides) under uncultured bacterium. Its description in RNAcentral is "bacterial SSU rRNA". It matches the Rfam family "Bacterial small subunit ribosomal RNA", at positions 337 to 639 of the family's 1533-position model. The record is from RNAcentral.
ACCUACGGGAGGCAGCAGUGAGGAAUAUUGGUCAAUGGCCGCAGGGCUGAACCAGCCAAGUCGCGUGAGGGAUGACGGUCCUAUUGAUUGUAAACCUCUUUCGUCAGGGAGCAAAGGGCGCCACGUGUGGCGUUUUGCGAGUACCUGAAGAAAAAGCAUCGGCUAACUCCGUGCCAGCAGCCGCGGUAAUACGGAGGAUUCAAGCGUUAUCCGGAUUUAUUGGGUUUAAAGGGUGCGUAGGCGGUUCGAUAAGUUAGAGGUGAAAUCGCGGGGCUCAACUCCGGCACUGCCUCUGAUACUGUCGG